This is a long non-coding RNA of Trifolium pratense (red clover), 305 nucleotides long. RefSeq lists it as uncharacterized. NCBI's taxonomy places the organism in Eukaryota, Viridiplantae, Streptophyta, Magnoliopsida, Fabales, Fabaceae. The transcript has 3 exons. The record is from RefSeq and is a predicted model, not a curated record.
GGAAAAAUUGUCAUAGAGUCAUACCAUUAUUUAAAGACACAUAUGCUAUAGUUUCAAUCAUCUCCUCUCAAUUCCAUAUUCCUAAAUAUAAGAGAAAUAGAAAGAGCAAGAAAACACCGCGCCAGUCCUUUUAUUUUCUUGGUGUCACUAGAGUCUUAAAACACUCUUUGUUCGAGUGACGUGGAGAACUUAAGGACUUUUGCGUUAGAGUAGUAAAGCGCCUAAGGUACUAAAAGUGAUGUGUGAAGUUGAUGUGUUGCUUAUGCGCGCGGGGAAAAUAAAAGGGGUUUUGUGCCAAUAAACAA